AGCAGGGCUUGGGAAUACUGUCCAGAAACUUCCUUCUUCAGGUCGAGGGUCAGCUUCUUCUCUGUUUCUUCCAAAUAGACCUCGCAGAAAGC
Molecule: long non-coding RNA, 92 nt
Organism: Myripristis murdjan (pinecone soldierfish)
Lineage: Eukaryota; Metazoa; Chordata; Actinopteri; Holocentriformes; Holocentridae
Exons: 4
Source: RefSeq, a predicted model, not a curated record